RNAcentral lists this RNase P RNA (386 nucleotides) under Bacteroidia bacterium. Its description in RNAcentral is "RNase P RNA component class A". It matches the Rfam family "Bacterial RNase P class A". Rfam says of the family: Ribonuclease P (RNase P) is a ubiquitous endoribonuclease, found in archaea, bacteria and eukarya as well as chloroplasts and mitochondria. Its best characterised activity is the generation of mature 5'-ends of tRNAs by cleaving the 5'-leader elements of precursor-tRNAs. Lineage: Bacteria; Pseudomonadati; Bacteroidota; Bacteroidia. The record is from RNAcentral.
UAUAAAGGUCCACCUGUCGAUCCGGUCUUCAGACCGGGUAGGAAAGUCCGGGCAGCGCAGAGCACCGCACCACCUAACGGGUGGGGUCUCGUCUCGCUUGCAGCGAGACGGGAUACGGAAAGUGCCACAGAGAACGAUACCGCCUCGCUGUAAGCGAGGUAAGGGUGAAAACGUGAGGUAAGAGCUCACGCGUUGUAUGGCAACAUGCAGCGGGGAAAACCCUGCGGGCUGUAAGACCAAAUAGGUCUGCUGCAGCGGGAGUUGCUCGCUCCCCUCUCGCUGUAAGCGAGACGGCAGAUGGGUAGGUCGCUGAAGGGGCCGUGUGAACGUCUCCGCAGAUAAAUGACAGGAUAAUACAGAACCCGGCUUAUGGGCCUUUAUGGUAU